AGAUUUUAAAGCUGCAUAAACAAGAUCAUAUAUUGAUACCGACUCUGAAUUAACAUAUUUAAAAACAAUUGCAGACAUGUUACCAUUACAUAAACAGAAAAGGGCACUAAUUACACGUCUAAGAGCUCAUCUUCCAGGGACUUUGUUAGACCUUUCAGAGCUAGCUAUCAAUUGCAUAAUUUAACAUCAUUAAAGUAUGUAAUGCAUAAUAUACAAGUGCACCAAUCAAUAAUCACCAAGAACCAUUUCUUAAAAAAAGAAGAAGAAGAAGAA
RNAcentral lists this unclassified non-coding RNA (273 nucleotides) under Hevea brasiliensis (rubber tree). The record is from RNAcentral. Lineage: Eukaryota; Viridiplantae; Streptophyta; Magnoliopsida; Malpighiales; Euphorbiaceae.